AUUGAACGCUGGCGGCAGGCCUAACACAUGCAAGUCGAGCGGAUGAAGGGAGCUUGCUCCUGGAUUCAGCGGCGGACGGGUGAGUAAUGCCUAGGAAUCUGCCUGGUAGUGGGGGAUAACGUCCGGAAACGGGCGCUAAUACCGCAUACGUCCUGAGGGAGAAAGUGGGGGAUCUUCGGACCUCACGCUAUCAGAUGAGCCUAGGUCGGAUUAGCUAGUUGGUGGGGUAAAGGCCUACCAAGGCGACGAUCCGUAACUGGUCUGAGAGGAUGAUCAGUCACACUGGAACUGAGACUCGGUACAGACUCCUACGGGGGGCAGCAGUGGGGAAUAUUAGACGAUGGGCGAAAGCCUGAUCCAGCCAUGCCGCGUGUGUGAAGAAGGUCUUCGGAUUGUAAAGCACUUUAAGUUGGGAGGAAGGGCAGUAAGUUAAUACCUUGCUGUUUUGACGGUACCAACAGAAUAAGCACCGGCUAACUUCGUG
RNAcentral lists this ribosomal RNA (484 nucleotides) under uncultured bacterium. RNAcentral describes it as "partial 16S ribosomal RNA". It matches the Rfam family "Bacterial small subunit ribosomal RNA", at positions 30 to 507 of the family's 1533-position model. The record is from RNAcentral.